Molecule: long non-coding RNA, 7636 nt
Filed under: Octopus vulgaris (common octopus)
Lineage: Eukaryota; Metazoa; Mollusca; Cephalopoda; Octopoda; Octopodidae
Source: RNAcentral
AAACGACUUGCUCCUCUGACAUAAAUAAACGUCAAUCCAGGGAACACAAACUAAAAAGCUCAACAAGAUCUAACAUGGAGGAAACAAGAAAAUAAUAAAAACAGAAAAAAGGUGAAAAAAAAAAAAAGGGGACCCAAACUGGAGACAGAAACCACACAAGAAAUGUAAGUGAAAAUAAAUCAAAUAAUAUUUUUUUCCGUUUUUAAUUUUUAUUUUUAAAGGAAUUGUUUUUAUUGUUAUUUAUUAGUAAAGUAACAAUUCUUGUCUUUGAAUUUGAAUAAAAGUUCAUUGUGUUUAAAUUUAAUUCUGACCAAUAGAAAAAAAAAAAAAGGAAAGAAAUUAGAUGAGGGUGGUUGUGGUUGUGGGUUUAAAGCUGCAUGAAUGAAUGCCAGAUGCCCUUCCUGUUGCCACCCCUUCUCCCUUUACAGGUUCCCAAAUAAGAUAAAAAUUUCUUCAUAAGCAGUUUGGAAAAUGAACAACACUACUCAUGACAGAGAUGUUUGUUUGCAGCCAUCACGUGACAGUCCAGACAAAGACACACACACACACCUUUCGUACUUCCAAGCUUUCCUCCACUUGCAAACAAUACAAGAACACAACUAACUUACUUGCACACUUCUACACACAGCAUCCCCACUUGGUUUGUAAUUUUUUUCUUGCUCUCUCUCUCUUACUCCAAUACUUUUCUUCUGAUGAAGGGUUAAUGUUCAAAACAUUAAAACUCUUUCCUUUUCUUCAUACUAAUACAAUAUUUGUUAAAACAUGUCCAUCUUGUGUUGGCUUUCCUCUUUUUGUUCAUUAUAUUUUCAACACAUACACACAUAUGAAGGGCUUUUUUUUCAGUUUUCCUCUUCUAAAUCUGCAUCACAAAACUUUGAUUGGCCCAGGGUCAGAGGAAAAGACACUUGCUCAAGGUGUCAUGCACUGGGAUUGAACCCAAAACGACAUUUAAGAAGCAAGCCUCUUAUCCAGUCAUUCCCACAUAAACACAGUCAAAAGGUUCUGUGAACAACCUCCCACCACCACCCUAACCCUUUGUAGGUGCCCUUUACAAAUAUCUAUAGCUUUCGGUUUACACUGAGCCCUGUGAAUAAAAUGGGGAGGGGGUAGAUGUAAACAGUUGUAGCUUAUCACAUGUGAAUUGAGCCUGGGAUUCAAAAGAUACCCCCUUGUUGUCUACAGGACCUCACUGAUAUAGAUUGAGGAUUACGUUAAGGGGACAUAUAUCUGUGGUGUACUCAGCCACUUACACUUUUAAUUCAAUGAGUAGGUGGUCAUUCAAACAGAUGAAAGCUCAUCAGUGAAGCCACACAGGACUCAUGAUUAUCAUAUAUGAGUAUGUAUAUAUGCAUAUGUGUAGAAAAAAAUAUAUACGUGUAUGUGUGUGUGUAUAUAUAUAUAUAUAUAUAUAUAUAUAUACACGUGAUGGUGGGGUAUUUUGUGUAUGUAUAAAUAAUUUCAUCAAUUGGAUCUCAGCUACAUAGAACUCUGCACUAUACUCCUCUGUAUUGGACUGCUAUGUAGUCUGAUAGCCAGGUCCAGUAGAGGAGCUUUCUGUGGCAGCCACAAGAUUCCAUAUACUGCAUUACAAAUUUAUAUUAUGUGUGUGUGUGUGUGUGUCUCUCUCUGUAUAUGUAUAUAUAUAUAUAUAUAUAUAUACAUACAUAAAUGGCAUAAACAGGGUAGUCAGGCAUAGCUUUCUUCCCCAAUGCAUGUAUAUAAUCAUAUAUGUUUGUGUAAUUGCUUCCACACAUGCCCCCCCCCCCCCCACAGAGCAGAACCUGUAUCAAAUGUUAGGAGUUUCCCUAUGUUUUGUCACUGAAACUGGGUGAGCCCUAACUAUGAAGGGACUGUACUUACACUUGCUUUCAAAUUGUUGGCACAAGGCUAGUAAUUUCAGGGGAAGGGUCAAGUUGAUUACAAUGACCCCCAAUGUUCAACCAGUACUUAUUUUGUUGACCCCCGAAAAGAUGGAAGGCAAAGUCGACGUCAGUGGAAUUUGAACUCAGAACAUAAAGAGGGAUGAAAUGCUGCUAAGAAUUUUGUCUGGCAAUUUAAUGGUUCCCCUAGCUUGGUCCCUUAGGACUGUACAUGUACUGAAAAGGGACCAAGCCUUGUCCUGUACACACUCACACACACAGAGUCUGCUUUCUAUGUCGGCAUGGGUUGGAUGUUGUGAUAGGGUCCAAUGGAUCAGAGGACUAUUCUCGAUCAAGUCUCUUCGGUUUUCUGGAGUGGUUCUCUGGCUGGAUGCCCUUCCUAACGCUAACCCCCCUAAAGUGUGUACUAGGUGCGUUUUACAGGGUACCAAAACUCUAGAGUGGUUCUCUGGCUGGAUGCCCUUCCUAAUUCUAAUCCCUCUAAAGUGUGUACCAGAUGCGUUUUACAGGGUACCAAAACUCUAGAGUGGUUCUCUGGCUGGAUGCCCUUCCUAAUUCUAAUCCCUCUAAAGUGUGUACCAGAUGCGUUUUACAGGGUACCAAAACUCUGGAGUGGUUCUCUGGUUGGAUGCCCUUCCUAAUGCUAACCCCUCUAAAGUGUGUACCAGGUGCAUUUUACAGGGUACCAAAACUCUGGGGUGGUUCUCUGGUUGGAUGCCCUUCUUAAUGCUAACCCCUCUAAAGUGUGUACCAGGUGCGUUUUACAGGGUACAAAAACUUUAUUACAUAAAGAAAAAAAAAAGGGAUAUUGAAGGUGGAGGAAAAAUAGACAAACAGGGAGAGGGGGAGGAAGGACGAUAGAGAAUGAGAGAAGAAAGUGAAGAAAGCAAUAACACGAAUUUUAAAAUCAGUCCUUCAUCAUGUAUAACAACAUAGUUUCAAGGUUAGCUUCAAUUAAUUAACACACUUCAUUAGUCAUAACGAGUUAGGCAAUAUGUGGAUUUAUUAGAUGUUUCAAAAUACAAAAAAGUAAAAAAAAAAAAUAAAUGUUAAAAAAAAAAAGAAAGAGCAACACAAAACAAUUCCUUUAUUCUUUUACCUGUUUAAAAGAAAAAAAAAAAAGUCACUGGACUGUGGCCAAACUGGAACACCACCUGCAAGGGGUCAGUUUAUCGAACCGACCCCAAUUUUCGUAUUUUUAAGUCUGGUACUCACUCAUUCUCCCAUUCUCCUUUUUUUGCUGUACUCCUACACGACAGGGAUGUAAACAAACCAACACCGCCUGACAAGGAGUGAGAGCCCACGUACACACGCAGCAUUUAACUGCAAUGUCCCAACAAGUCCGAGGACUGUAUCGAGCUCCUAUAUUAAUUUUGGCAUCGUUUUUUAUGGCUGAAUGCCCUUCUUAAUGCCAACCACUUUACAGAGCAGACUGGGUACUUGUUUGUUUUUUUUUCACAGCACAAGCACUAGUAAGAUGGCAUACAUAUAUAUAUAUCAUCUUCAUCAUUUAACAUCCAUCUUCCAAACUGGCAUGGGUUAGAUGGUUUGACAAGAAAGAGCAAGGUACCAGGUUCUAUUGUCUGCUUUGGCAUGGUUUCUAUGGCUGGAUCCCCUUUCUGAUGCUAAACCACCUUACAGAGUGUAUUGGGUGCUUUUUAUGUGGCACCAACACCAGAGGGGAGGUUGCCAUGUAACUCGCGAGACAAAGACCACUCACCCCAGGAGUUGGGGGGGGGUGGAAUCAAGGGAGGUGGGUUUGAGCCAGUUGAGAGAUUAAAGUAUAACAGAGGGAUAUAGAUUGGCGUCUUACUAUGGAGGAGGUACUUGGCUACCCCCAGUAGGGAGAGAAAGAUAGAGAGAAAAAGAGAUGGUCUAAGGGAUGUAUAGGGACACACCCAUAUGGUACGGAGGGGUAAGUUUCAUAAGUGUGUGAAGGGGAGGUGUUUAGAGAUGCGGAAGAGGUGACUGUAACAAGCAAUGGAGAGAAAUUGGAGCAGCUAGAACAGGGGAGCACCACUACACCCACAGAUAUGGCAUGUGGGUGAGUCAGGGUAGGUGCUUGGUACAGUACGAGGGUGGGGGGUUGGAGCAUUCUAGAACAGCAAGCAAAUGGAUUCUGUCAGUUUUGUUCAGUCAACUGAAUCAUCUGCUCUUGAAUUGGUAUCUACGUGGCUGAAUACCCCACAGUUAUGUGUCAUUCAAGUAGAAUCAGUAUGACAUAGUGACAAGGCUAGACAGGAACAAUCCAUCCAACAGGCUUCAUUACAGUUUCCAUCUACCCAGUUUUAUUCACAAGGUAUCAGUUAAUUCAAGGCAAAGGUUAAGACUGCCCCACAACGCUACACUUUAGGGAUUGAACCCAGAUCCUAGUGGUUAUAUCCUUUGCUCUUCUACAGUGACCAGAAGGUGUCCCCUUCUCCCAUCAAAUAUUUCACAUAAAAACACACAUUCUAAAACUACACACACACACACACAGUCUUCAAGCAGAAAACUGAAGAUCCAACACAAGGCCACACACUUAUAUUGGAGGGAAACAAGAAUAUGUGAUGUUCAUGCCUUUCUCAACAGCAUUAUUACUGUAAGGAAUGUGAGGUAAACAGCCCCUCUGGCCAGAAAUUAAUACCAAUUAAAAGUGGACUUGGCGUGGUACAGAGGAAGUGUUUGCCUCUUAAGAUCCAUUAUCAUAAACGUCCUUUGCCCUCACAUGUUAAUAGACAUAUUUUUCAUUUAACUGAAGAAUUAUUUAUAGAGCUUGGUUGAGAUUGUUUGGCAUGCAUGCCUUUCUCACCAGCAUUAAUACUGUAAGGAAUGUCAAAUAUGCUUAUAACUGGAAAGUCAAAAUUAAACCUGCUAUGUGGGGACAAGACGCACCAAGCGAACUUGGUUUUUGCUCAUUAAUCUCAAACCACCAGCUCUCCCACCGCCUUCUGUGCACCACCAAAAAAAUGUAAAGAGUGUUUCAAAACUUCCUCCUUAGCUACAAAGUCAUAGCCCCACCACAGAAUGAGAUUGUGUGGCAGCAAUCCUUUCCCAACAUUCCAAGACUUAGGAAUCAAAGAAGCAAGAGUUGGUCCACUUCAAACGCUUUGCAGUAAAGUGGGAUCUGCUAAAUGCCACGGCCAAAGUUGGCAAUUUAUGAUUUGGGGGAAAGUAAGGAAAAAGUGGCAGGCUUUUGGAGUUAAGUUUCUAUGACAUUCUUGCCUCCAAUGAGGACAUCAGGGAUACAAGUGAAUCAAACCAGCGUCGGAUGAACUCAACUGGUUUCCAACCAAGAAUUGAAACUUUGCUCACAGACUCAAUCAAUCUGCCUGGAACUCGGCUUUCGUUACCAAUAUUUUUGUUUGUUUGUUUUUUAAAAUAAUUUUCAUUGCUAAAUUACACGAGUCGUUAUAAAAUCAUUCUCUUCAUCAGAUGGAAGUUCACAAAUAUAUAAUAGAGAAAAAUAAGAGUUGGACGGGAUUGCAUGGAAAAAGCCAAUUAUCGUUAGCGCCACAACUGAACUAAAAUCUCAAUAAAUUAGGUUCCAGACCAGGAAUGGAAACCAGCAUGGCAGAAUUUGAAUGGCUGGAAACUUAUUAAUCUCUCUCUGGAUUCUACAUCAGUUAACUGCCCUAUUUUCCAAAAUUCAUUCAAUAAUAAUAAUAAUAAAAAUAAUAAUAAUCCUUUCUACUAUAGGCACAAGGCCUGCAAUUUAGUGAGAGGGGACCAGUUGAUUACAUUGACCCCCCAAUGUUUCACUGGUACCCUAAUUUAUCAACCCCCGAAAGGAUAAAAGGUAAAGUUGACCUCAGCGGAAUUUGAACUCAGGACUCAAAAUGCCACUAAGCAUUUCGCCCGGUGUGCUAACGAUUCUGCUGGUUCACAACCUUAAUUCUUUCUACUAUAGGCACAAGGCCUGAAAUUUGCAGGGAGGGACAAAGUCAAUUACAUUGACCCCAAAAGGUCAGAGUUGACCUCGGCGGAAUUUGAACUCAGAACCUAAGGAUGGAUGAAAUGCCACUAAGAAGCAUUUUGUCCGGCAUGCUAACAAUAAUAAUAAUAAUAACAAUCCUUUCUACUGUAGGCACAAGGCCUCAAAUUUGGGGGGGAAGGGAUUAAGUUGAUUACAUCGGCCCCAGUGCUUAACUGGUACUUAUUUAAUCGACCCCAAAAGGAUAAAAGGUAAAGUUGACCUUGGUGGAAUUUGAACUCAGAACGUACCGGCAGAUGAAAUAUCGCUAAGCAUUUCAGCCGCUGUGCUAAGAAUUCUGCCAGCUCGCUACCUUAAUAAUAAUAAUAAUUUAGUGGAAGGGAAUUAGUCAAUGCAGUCAACCCCAGUAUUUGACUGGUAUCUUAUUUUAUUGAGCCUGAAAGGCAAAGUCAACCAGGGGAGGGGUGGGGACAAGUUGAUUACAUUAACCAUAGUACAAGGAUUCUGCCAGCUCACUGCCUUUUUAAAUAAUAAUAAUAAUAAUAAUGGUUUCAGAUUUUGGCCCAGGGCCAGCAAGUUCUGGGGAGAGGGUAGGUUGAUUACAUCAACCCCAGUGUAUAACUGGUACCCUUUUUUUUUUUCUUUUAAAUCAACCCGCCCCCAGCCCCAAAGGAUGAAAAGUAAAGUCAACCUCAGUGGCAUUUGAACUCAGAAUGUAAAGAACUAGAAGACAUGCCGCUAAGCAUUUUGUCCAAUGCCCUCAAGACUCUGCCGGCUCACCACUUAAUAAUAAUAAUAAUAAUAAUAAUAGGUUUUUCAAACAUAAACACAAGGCUUGAAAGUUGUGAGAUGGUAUUUGUCAGUACCACCAACCAUCAACACCCUUGAAAAGAAAAAAAAAAUUUUUUUUUUAAAGGUUACUCAACCAUUUCCAAAAUUCAACUUUUUAAGAAUUUACCAUUUUAGAGUUUCGUUUCAUACCACCACCCUCCACACACAACCACCUUCUCAUCAGAUUUCACUAAUCUCACUGCUUGUUUUUUUUUUAAAGUUUUUUUUUAUUUGUUGUUUUUUUUUUGAAAUUGUUGUUUUUUUAAUUUUUUUUUUUAUUUACUCCUUGAUAAACACUCGUGUUAAAAAAAAUAAAAUGAAAUUUAAAUAUUAUUGUUCAAGUCACACAGAUAAAUAAAUAAAUAUCAGUCAUAAAAAAUAUUCCAGGUUCAUUAAAAAAACAAGGGAACAAUUUAAAGAAAAAAAAUUCCAACAUUCUAUUGUAGUUACAAAUGUUUUUUUUGUUUAAAAAAAAAAGAAAAAUCAAUACAAAUGAAAAAAAAAUAAUUCCACACCAUUGACCCCCACUUCUUCCAAACAACCCCACCACACACACACAAACACAGGUCCACUAUGAGCCUACAAGUUUAUUUAGUAGGGGGGGGGGGGAAACUUUGUGCCAGUUUCCACAAUAUUUAAGCAACCAAGAGCUGUACCACAGGUCCUAGCACCUGUUCAAUGGGACAGGAUGCUAGUCUUUCAAAGGGUUAACUCCCAGCUGCUGUUGCAGCUCCUGCUACACGCUUUUUUGCCGCUGAGUGGACUGAAGUGAUAUGAAGUGAAGUGCCUUGUUCAAGGAUACAAUGCAUUGAUCAGUCUGAGAAUCGAUGCCAAGAACUUCCAGCCACAGCUACAAUAGCCUUACUCUUAGGCAACGUGCCUUCUCACACACACACAGACAUACGAUAUAUAUACAUAUAUGCAUACAUACAUAUAUAUACACACAUAUAUAUAUAUAUACACAUAUAUAUACACAUAUAUAUACACAUAUAUAUACACACACAUAUAUACA